Molecule: ribosomal RNA, 245 nt
Filed under: uncultured Prevotella sp.
Lineage: Bacteria; Pseudomonadati; Bacteroidota; Bacteroidia; Bacteroidales; Prevotellaceae
Description: partial 16S ribosomal RNA
Rfam family: Bacterial small subunit ribosomal RNA
Source: RNAcentral
UACGGAAGGUCCCGGCGUUAUCCGGAUUUAUUGGGUUUAAAGGGAGCGUAGGCCGUGGAUUAAGCGUGUUGUGAAAUGUAGACGCUCAACGUCUGACUUGCAGCGCGAACUGGUUCACUUGAGUGUGCGCAACGCAGGCGGAAUUCGUGGUGUAGCGGUGAAAUGCUUAGAUAUCACGAAGAACUCCGAUUGCGAAGGCAGCUUGCGGGAGCACAACUGACGCUGAAGCUCGAAAGUGCGGGUAU